GAAUCUAGUCUGACAAACAAAAACAACAAAUUUCUUCUAUAAACAUGGCCGCAAAAUCCAUUCUCCUCUUGGCAAUCGUAGCAACCCUGUUUGCUGUUGCCGUAGCUGUUCCUGCUCCGCAACCACAAGCGUUGCUAGGAAAACUUAACGUUGAUUCCGAAGGCCUUACCGCUGUCGAUGCACCACAUUCUGCUCAAGCUCCGGGAGCUGCCCAAAACCUGAAGGCUCCUAUAUCAGGCUAAACCCGCGUUGCCAUGCUGGACGGAUCGACUCAAACAUUGAUCGUAAAGUAAAUAAAGAGCACCACUUGCACUGCAUGAGA
Long non-coding RNA from Topomyia yanbarensis, 322 nucleotides. RefSeq lists it as uncharacterized. The record is from RefSeq and is a predicted model, not a curated record. NCBI's taxonomy places the organism in Eukaryota, Metazoa, Arthropoda, Insecta, Diptera, Culicidae. The transcript is spliced from 2 exons.